RNAcentral lists this ribosomal RNA (422 nucleotides) under uncultured Bacteroidales bacterium. RNAcentral's name for it is "bacterial SSU rRNA". It matches the Rfam family "Bacterial small subunit ribosomal RNA", at positions 296 to 715 of the family's 1533-position model. The record is from RNAcentral. Lineage: Bacteria; Pseudomonadati; Bacteroidota; Bacteroidia; Bacteroidales.
GAGGAAGGUCCCCCACAUUGGAACUGAGACACGGUCCAAACUCCUACGGGAGGCAGCAGUGAGGAAUAUUGGUCAAUGGGCGAGAGCCUGAACCAGCCAAGUAGCGUGAAGGAUGACUGCCCUAUGGGUUGUAAACUUCUUUUAUACGGGAAUAACAAGCGGCACGUGUGCCGUUCUGCAUGUACCGUAUGAAUAAGCAUCGGCUAACUCCGUGCCAGCAGCCGCGGUAAUACGGAGGAUGCGAGCGUUAUCCGGAUUUAUUGGGUUUAAAGGGAGCGCAGACGGGUCCUUAAGUCAGUUGUGAAAGUUUGGGGCUCAACCGUAAAAUUGCAGUUGAUACUGGAGACCUGGAGUGCGGUAUAGGCAGGCGGAAUUCGGGGGGUAGGGGUGAAAUGCUUAGAUAUCACGAAGAACUCCGAUUG